RNAcentral lists this ribosomal RNA (520 nucleotides) under uncultured Entrophospora. RNAcentral's name for it is "SSU rRNA". It matches the Rfam family "Eukaryotic small subunit ribosomal RNA", at positions 569 to 1082 of the family's 1831-position model. The record is from RNAcentral. Lineage: Eukaryota; Fungi; Glomeromycota; Glomeromycetes; Entrophosporales; Entrophosporaceae.
AGCAGCCGCGGUAAUUCCAGCUCCAAUAGCGUAUAUUAAAGUUGUUGCAGUUAAAAGCUCGUAGUUGAAUUUCGGGAUUGGCGCAUCGGUCGUGCCUUACGGGGUAUGAACUGGUGCAGUCAAUUUCUCACCUUCUGGAGAACCGCGAUGUCCUUAAUUGGGUGCCGCGGGGAACCAGGACCUUUACUUUGAAAGAAUUAGAGUGUUUAAAGCAGGCAUUUUUGCUUGAAUACAUUAGCAUGGAAUAAUAAAAUAGGACGGCAUGGUUCUAUUUUGUUGGUUUCUAGGACCACCGUAAUGAUUAAUAGGGGAUAGUUGGGGGGCAUUAGUAUUCAAUUGUCAGAGGUGAAAUUCUUGGAUUUAUUGAAGACUAACUACUGCGAAAGCAUUUGCCAAGGAUGUUUUCGUUAAUCAAGAACGAAAGUUAGGGGAUCGAAGACGAUCAGAUACCGUCGUAGUCUUAACCAUAAACUAUGCCGACUAGGAAUCAGACGAUGUUAAUUUUUUAAUGACUCGUUUG